Molecule: ribosomal RNA, 112 nt
Filed under: Deltaproteobacteria bacterium ADurb.Bin058
Lineage: Bacteria; Deltaproteobacteria
Source: RNAcentral
UGGUGACCAUACCGGCAGGGCCAUACCUGAUCCCAUCCCGAACUCAGAAGUCAAGCCUGCCAGGGCCGAUGGUACUGCUUGGGAAGCUAAGUGGGAGAGUAGGUUGUUGCUG